This 447-nucleotide ribosomal RNA is filed under the name Tenuibranchiurus sp. 3 KLD-2017. RNAcentral's name for it is "partial 16S ribsomal RNA". It matches the Rfam family "Archaeal large subunit ribosomal RNA", at positions 2009 to 2653 of the family's 2987-position model. Lineage: Eukaryota; Metazoa; Arthropoda; Malacostraca; Decapoda; Parastacidae. The record is from RNAcentral.
CGCGGUAUUUUGACCGUGCGAAGGUAGCAUAAUCAUUAGUCUUUUAAUUGAAGGCUUGUAUGAAGGGUUGGACGAGAAAUUAGCUGUCUUUGCGGAAGUGAUGGAACUUGACUUUUAAGUGAGAAGGCUUAAAUGUUCUAAAGGGACGAUAAGACCCUAUAAAGUUUGAUGGUCUAGGUUUUAAGAGACAAGUUGGGUAGCUAGUGUUUAUUAGGGAAGGGGUAUUUUGUUGGGGCGAUAAGAAUAUAAGUGAUUUAACUGUUUUAUGGUUAGUAACAAAGGUAGUUGGAUUUGUUGUGAUCCUUGUUAAAGAUUGUUAGAAUAAAUUACUUUAGGGAUAACAGCGUAAUUUUUUUUGAGAGUUCUUAUCGACAAAGAAGUUUGCGACCUCGAUGUUGAAUUAAAAGUUCUUUGUGGCGUAGCAGUUAGGAGAGAAGGUCUGUUCGA